RNAcentral lists this ribosomal RNA (292 nucleotides) under uncultured eukaryote. RNAcentral's name for it is "partial 18S ribosomal RNA". It matches the Rfam family "Eukaryotic small subunit ribosomal RNA", at positions 6 to 287 of the family's 1831-position model. The record is from RNAcentral.
GGUUGAUCCUGCCAGUAGUCAUAUGCUUGUCUCAAAGAUUAAGCCAUGCAUGUCCAAGUAUAAACCAAAAUUUAUACGGUGAAACUGCGAAUGGCUCAUUAAAUCAGUUAUAGUUUAUUUGAUAAUCACUUACUACAUGGAUAACCGUGGUAACCCAGAGCUAAUACAUGCACCGUAACUGAAUGCGCAAGCGUUUGGUUGUAUUUAUUAGAUUACAAACCAGCGACGGCAUCACCCGAUGCCACCUUUGGUGAUUCAUAAUAACUGAGCGGAUCGUAUAGCCUUGUGCUGA